This is a long non-coding RNA of Bombina bombina (fire-bellied toad), 210 nucleotides long. RefSeq lists it as uncharacterized. The transcript is spliced from 2 exons. NCBI's taxonomy places the organism in Eukaryota, Metazoa, Chordata, Amphibia, Anura, Bombinatoridae. The record is from RefSeq and is a predicted model, not a curated record.
CAGAGAUUCAAGCAAUCCAGAAAGCUCUUACCAAAUAUCUGAAAUGGAAUAAGUCUGUUUGUAAUUCACCUAAACCCUACAUUGGCAAUGAGCAGUUUGGAGCCGGCUGAAAUGUAUGGUUCACACUUCCAUGAAUAUUUCUACACUAGCUAUUCUAAAUAAAACACAGAUCUAACACUAUUAUUAAAGUGACAAUACACUGUAAAAUGA